RNAcentral lists this ribosomal RNA (383 nucleotides) under uncultured bacterium. RNAcentral's name for it is "bacterial SSU rRNA". It matches the Rfam family "Bacterial small subunit ribosomal RNA", at positions 963 to 1344 of the family's 1533-position model. The record is from RNAcentral.
GAAGAACCUUACCAGCUCUUGACAUUCGGGGUUUGGGCAGUGGAGACAUUGUCCUUCAGUUCGGCUGGCCCCAGAACAGGUGCUGCAUGGCUGUCGUCAGCUCGUGUCGUGAGAUGUUGGGUUAAGUCCCGCAACGAGCGCAACCCUCGCCCUUAGUUGCCAGCAUUUGGUUGGGCACUCUAAGGGGACUGCCGGUGAUAAGCCGAGAGGAAGGUGGGGAUGACGUCAAGUCCUCAUGGCCCUUACGGGCUGGGCUACACACGUGCUACAAUGGUGGUGACAGUGGGCAGCGAGACCGCGAGGUCGAGCUAAUCUCCAAAAGCCAUCUCAGUUCGGAUUGCACUCUGCAACUCGAGUGCAUGAAGUGGAAUCGCUAGUAAUCG